AGUGAACGCUGGCGGUAGGCCUAACACAUGCAAGUCGAACGGCAGCACAGUAAGAGCUUGCUCUUACGGGUGGCGAGUGGCGGACGGGUGAGGAAUACAUCGGAAUCUACUUUUUCGUGGGGGAUAACGUAGGGAAACUUACGCUAAUACCGCAUGCGACCUACGGGUGAAAGCAGGGGAUCUUCGGACCUUGCGCGAUUGAAUGAGCCGAUGUCGGAUUAGCUAGUUGGCGGGGUAAAGGCCCACCAAGGCGACGAUCCGUAGCUGGUCUGAGAGGAUGAUCAGCCACACUGGAACUGAGACACGGUCCAGACUCCUACGGGAGGCAGCAGUGGGGAAUAUUGGACAAUGGGCGCAAGCCUGAUCCAGCCAUACCGCGUAGGUGAAGAAGGCCUUCGGGUUGUAAAGCCCUUUUGUUGGGAAAGAAAAGCAGCAGGUUAAUACCCCGCUGUUCUGACGGUACCCAAAGAAUAAGCACCGGCUAACUUCGUG
Molecule: ribosomal RNA, 492 nt
Filed under: uncultured bacterium
Lineage: Bacteria
Description: partial 16S ribosomal RNA
Rfam family: Bacterial small subunit ribosomal RNA
Source: RNAcentral